This 253-nucleotide ribosomal RNA is filed under the name uncultured bacterium. RNAcentral's name for it is "partial 16S ribosomal RNA". It matches the Rfam family "Bacterial small subunit ribosomal RNA", at positions 524 to 776 of the family's 1533-position model. The record is from RNAcentral.
UACAGAGGUCCCAAGCGUUGUUCGGAUUCACUGGGCGUAAAGGGUGCGUAGGUGGCCGAGAAAGUUCGGUGUGAAAGCUCCAAGCUCAACUUGGAAAUGUCAUCGAAAACUUCUCGGCUUGAGGGUUGAAAGGGAGACUGGAAUUCUCGGUGUAGCAGUGAAAUGCGUAGAUAUCGAGAGGAACACCGGUGGCGAAGGCGAGUCUCUGGGCAAAUCCUGACACUGAGGCACGAAAGCUGGGGGAGCAAACAGG